This 440-nucleotide ribosomal RNA is filed under the name Staphylococcus aureus. RNAcentral describes it as "partial 23S ribosomal RNA". It matches the Rfam family "Bacterial large subunit ribosomal RNA", at positions 1007 to 1452 of the family's 2925-position model. The record is from RNAcentral. Lineage: Bacteria; Bacillati; Bacillota; Bacilli; Caryophanales; Staphylococcaceae.
GUGUUCGAAAGGGAAACAGCCCAGACCACCAGCUAAGGUCCCAAAAUAUAUGUUAAGUGGAAAAGGAUGUGGCGUUGCCCAGACAACUAGGAUGUUGGCUUAGAAGCAGCCAUCAUUUAAAGAGUGCGUAAUAGCUCACUAGUCGAGUGACACUGCGCCGAAAAUGUACCGGGGCUAAACAUAUUACCGAAGCUGUGGAUUGUCCUUUGGACAAUGGUAGGAGAGCGUUCUAAGGGCGUUGAAGCAUGAUCGUAAGGACAUGUGGAGCGCUUAGAAGUGAGAAUGCCGGUGUGAGUAGCGAAAGACGGGUGAGAAUCCCGUCCACCGAUUGACUAAGGUUUCCAGAGGAAGGCUCGUCCGCUCUGGGUUAGUCGGGUCCUAAGCUGAGGCCGACAGGCGUAGGCGAUGGAUAACAGGUUGAUAUUCCUGUACCACCUAUA